GAGUGUUGAGUGUUUGUGCUGUUUAUUCUUUGCAGCGGAACGUCUGUCAAGUGUUUUGUUCAGCCGUGAUUUGGCAAGAAGCAUGGGUGCCAACUAUUGGCUCGGGGUGAAUCAUGUCUGGAAAGGUCAUCUCAGCCCUGUUUCCCAAGAUGCUGUGGGCUAAGGGAGCACCAGGACAUUAGGUCUGUUCCACUCGCUAACGAAACUCCUAUCCCUACUAUCAUGGAUUCGCAGUUGCUACAUGAGGGGAUUCUCCAGCUGUCUCUUCCCAGUUAGUAGUGCCUUGGGAAUUCGGAGUCAACAGCAUGCUUGAAAGAUUCAGCGUUCACCCACAGUUUAAGUGCUGUGUCAGAUGAAGGAUGUAGUGCUGUUUGCUUGCUUUGAGUAAAUAACUAGAAAAUGGUGGAUCUCGGGUGGUAAAUGCUCAAAGACUGCACUAUUGCCUGUAUGUUGUACAAAUAAAGAUUUUUGAGUCAUAUGUA
Rhincodon typus (whale shark) is the source of this 482-nucleotide long non-coding RNA. RefSeq lists it as uncharacterized. The transcript is spliced from 4 exons. Lineage: Eukaryota; Metazoa; Chordata; Chondrichthyes; Orectolobiformes; Rhincodontidae. The record is from RefSeq and is a predicted model, not a curated record.